Molecule: non-coding RNA, 696 nt
Organism: Lonchura striata (white-rumped munia)
Lineage: Eukaryota; Metazoa; Chordata; Aves; Passeriformes; Estrildidae
Source: RefSeq, a predicted model, not a curated record
GAUUUCCCCAGUCUUGACUCAGCAGUUUCCCUCAGCAGCGUUUAUUGGUUUGGUUUCCUGCCACCACCUCCCCCGGAAAGCGGCAGCCCGGGAGCGCCCGGAUUGCACGGACGGGUUUGCUGGGAGCUGUCCGUGUGCUGCCCCGGGGCUCGCACAGCCCGAGGUGUCACCCCGCGCCGCACAGCCCGAGGUGUCACCCUGCUCCGCACAGCCCGAGGUGUCACCCUGCUCCGCGCAGCCCGAGGUGUCACCCUGCUCCGCGCAGCCCGAGGUGUCACCCUGCUCCGCACAGCCCGAGGUGUCACCCUGCGCCGCGCAGCCCGAGGUGUCACCCUGCGCCGCGCAGCCCCGCGCUUCCCUGCGCCGCGCAGCCGAGCGCUCAGCGCACGGCUGCGCGCUGGGGCUGUGCGCGGAGGGAAACUCGCCAAGAGCUGCUGCCACAGUCCCGAGAAGGUCCCUGUGCUUCACACCCCUCUGCCAAGUGAAUCUGCAACCUCUCUGGCCGGCAUGAAUACAUUCCCCUUUCCACCUCUUCCGCGUGAAAUGGAAUCAAAUCCUUUCUCUGCCUCCUGGGAAGGAAUAAUUGGUUCUGCCAUAAUCUUUUCCCUGAAAGAAAACCACAGGAAUUGCCCUUUUGCUUAGAGAUAUCUAAAAGAAUAAAUAAAAACACAUUAGAAUAAAGUCAUGAUUACUGCA